AGGCCCAGUCAGUCGGCCAAUAGACCCGGAACCUGAGGGAUCGGAAUCCUGGUCCACUCCGCAGAGGCCCGAGCGGGCUCGCGAGGGAACGGGUUCUCCGAGUCUGGCCGGUGCUCCCCGAAGGACACCAGCCCAAUGGAGAUGGUCUGCAGGAAUGGCCGGAUGGCAGGCGUGAACUGUGGAGAGACGCGGCUGCGUCACCCACCGCUCAAGAGAGGGAUGGGGACAGGGCAGGAGCGAGGCACAGGGAUGUGCGGGGAAGACACAUUCAUUCAGUAAACGUUUCAUGAGCUCCUACUGUGUGCU
Homo sapiens (human) is the source of this 306-nucleotide long non-coding RNA. Ensembl annotates it as LIPE antisense RNA 1. Its record names the gene LIPE-AS1. NCBI's taxonomy places the organism in Eukaryota, Metazoa, Chordata, Mammalia, Primates, Hominidae. The record is from Ensembl.